AACGCGAAGAACCUUACCUAAGCUUGACAUCCCUCUGAAAGCCCCUUAAUCGGGGCCCCUCUUCGGAGCAGAGGUGACAGGUGGUGCAUGGUUGUCGUCAGCUCGUGUCGUGAGAUGUUGGGUUAAGUCCCGCAACGAGCGCAACCCUUGUCUUUAGUAGCCAGCAGCUUGGCUGGGCACUCUAGAGAGACUGCCGAGGAUAACUCGGAGGAAGGUGGGGAUGACGUCAAAUCAUCAUGCCCCUUAUGCUUAGGGCUACACACGUGCUACAAUGGCUGUUACAAAGGGUUGCCAAGCCGCGAGGCGGAGCUAAUCCCAUAAAGACAGUCUAAGUUCGGAUUGCAGGCUGAAACUCGCCUGCAUGAAGCUGGAGUUACUAGUAAUCGCAGAUCAGAAUGCUGCGGUGAAUGCGUUCCCGGGUCUUGUACACACCG
Molecule: ribosomal RNA, 434 nt
Filed under: uncultured bacterium
Lineage: Bacteria
Description: bacterial SSU rRNA
Rfam family: Bacterial small subunit ribosomal RNA
Source: RNAcentral